AAGACUAUACUUUCAGGGAUCAUUUCUAUAGUUGUCAAAACCUUUCAGAGGCCACAUGGCAAUGCCCACAUGACAAUGCCCACUUGG
This is a small nucleolar RNA of Ochotona princeps (American pika), 87 nucleotides long. Its record names the gene U3. It matches the Rfam family "Small nucleolar RNA U3". From Rfam's summary of the family: Small nucleolar RNAs (snoRNAs) are involved in the processing and modification of rRNA in the nucleolus. There are two main classes of snoRNAs: the box C/D class, and the box H/ACA class. Lineage: Eukaryota; Metazoa; Chordata; Mammalia; Lagomorpha; Ochotonidae. The record is from Ensembl.